GAAGGCAUAGCAUAGUGGUAGCGUGCGUGCGUGGAGUGCAGGUGGUCGUGGGUUUGAUCCCCCCUUGCUGCA
This 72-nucleotide transfer RNA is filed under the name Hordeum vulgare. RNAcentral describes it as "tRNA-OTHER". Lineage: Eukaryota; Viridiplantae; Streptophyta; Magnoliopsida; Poales; Poaceae. The record is from RNAcentral.